Molecule: ribosomal RNA, 460 nt
Filed under: uncultured bacterium
Lineage: Bacteria
Description: partial 16S ribosomal RNA
Rfam family: Bacterial small subunit ribosomal RNA
Source: RNAcentral
CCUACGGGAGGCAGCAGUGAGGAAUAUUAGUCAAUGGACGAGAGUCUGAACCAGCCAAGUAGCGUGAAGGAUGACUGCCCUAUGGGUUGUAAACUUCUUUUAUAUUGGAAUAAAAUGUUCCACGUGUGUGAUUUUGUAUGUACCAUAUGAAUAAGGAUCGGCUAACUCCGUGCCCGCAGCCGCGGUAAUACGGAGGGUCCAAGCGUUAUCCGGAUUUAUUGGGUUUAAAGGGAGCCGAGGUGGAUUGUUACGUCAGUUGUGAAAGUUUGCGGCUCAAACGUACAAUUGCAGUUGAAACUGGCAGUCUGGAGUACAGUAGAGGUGGGCGGAAUUCGUGGGGUAGCGGUGAAAUGCUUAGAUAGCACGAAGAACUCCGAUUGCGAAGGCAGUUCACUGGACUGCAACUGACACUGAGGCUCGAAAGUGUGGGUAUCAAACAGGAGUAGAUACCCGAGUAGUC